GAAUUUAAGAAUUUACCUUUUUUAUUUUAUUAAAACCAAAAUAGGGGCACAUUGACAAAUCACAGAUGAGCACGAAAGCUCCCAAAAAAGGCAGAAUGACACAGUUACACCAAAAAGAUUGAAAAAGAAAGGAAAUAAAAAAGACAGCGCCAGCCACUCAAAAUGCCAUCUCUAAAAAUCAAAUUUCAGGUACAGGCUGGUCCUCCUCGUCCGGAGAAGCCAUCGUCCAUUCUCCGUCUUCUCCUCUGACCAUCCCUUUGUUCUUCUCUAUCCACCAUGAUCCUGGCACCAUGCACUCAUCUUUCAAGAACUCACAUGACUUGUUCACCAAAGCCAAGCUUCUCUUCACUCUCAGCUUGAACUCUCCUUUCUCACCGUUCCACCCUGCCACUAUAUGCAACAUCGCCUGCAAAUUAUGCCAGUCACUAGGAUUCUUCGAGUCCUUUAGGUUCGGGGAUUUCCUAGUAUCGAUUUCGAGCUCAGUUCCUGUAUAUCUAUAGCCCAAAAGUCUUCCUGGAUAGUGUGGAAUGACAUCAAUCUUGUUCUUUAUAUGCAAAACUUUAAGAUUGGGAUACUUUUUGAACCUGGAAUUGAAGGCUUUGUUUCCAACUUGUGGGCUGCCAAAGACAAAAGCAGCUACUGGGAUAUCGGUAAUACCAUUUUCCACUAGAUCAAAAGCAGCUAAAAUUGAUAAACUAGCACCAAGGCUAUGCCCUGUUAAGAUUAUGCUUAGAUUAUCAUCUCGAUAUUGCUCCCUCAACUGAUUAAUCUUGGUCAAAAGUUGCUGCCUGGCACUUAAUUUCGUGAAAGGCGAUUUUGGGUCAUCAGAAAUAUAAAUCGUAAGCCAACCUAGCAUUACCUUAGGGACUUUCUCAUCAUCAUCGUUGUCACUGUCGCUGCUACUAUUAUUCUCUUCAAUUCUCUGGCUACUGCCCCGUAACAAUGGUAGAGCGGAGUGGAGCUUCGCACCUAAAAUGUCAACCCACUCAUAGUUUCUGGUGGUUCCCCGAAACACUAUAUAGAUUUCACGUCGUCCAAGAACUUUGGUAUACUCGUCAGAGGUAACAGAGAUGUAGCCGAUCCAGUUAGAUUCGCGGUCCCAGGACUCCCGGGACAUCGAGUGGAGAAGGAAGGCUUCUGGGAGGCUGACCCGAGCCGUCCCAUAGAGGAAAGAAGAGACUCGAUAGUUUUCAGCGUCUUCCAGCAUCACCUUUUGGAAGAAGUUGUUCUUGCCGUAGCGGCUGGUACCGCAGUACUUGGAGUUCUGGUCGUUGUUGAAGGAAUCAUAGGUGGCCUGGCAGAAGUCGCCGCAGCGGAGAACAAGUUUCCGGACUGUGAGGUCAAGAGGGUCAAGGAGGCUUUCCCAGUUGUUGCCACCCAGGAUUUCAGGCCAUGUUGGUUCUUGAGGGUUUGGUGUUUCCAUAGAGAAGAUAAGGCAAGAAAUUGCAGAUAAUGGAUUGGAGAUGGUUGAUCUUGG
Molecule: unclassified non-coding RNA, 1477 nt
Filed under: Hevea brasiliensis (rubber tree)
Lineage: Eukaryota; Viridiplantae; Streptophyta; Magnoliopsida; Malpighiales; Euphorbiaceae
Source: RNAcentral